UUUUUUCCUUUUGCCCUUAGCCUCCGUCGUUUCCUCUCUUCUCUUUUGCGAUUUUGAAGCCGCCCUCACGCGACUUCGAAGCCGGCGGCCCUCCUUCGGACUCUUCCGUCUUCCCCUCCCCACCGUGUACCGACGCAGAAGACGCCGACCACAUUCCCAUCGUCACCGACCGCACGAGCCCUCUGCUACCUCCCUCGGCCGACAUGGGGCCUUCGCCCAACCCCUUCUCUAUUCAUCAUCGUCUUGGUGACCUAAGCAGGGCACUGCCCCGGCCGCCGCCAAGGACUUGAGAUCCUUGGCAGUCUUCUGACAGAGACCCGACCCUUGCCCUCAACGCAGUCGAUGUCCGCACGCCCUGCCCUCAACGUAGCCGAAUUGGGUCACUUAUUAAUAACGGAUUGGAUCUUCCUGGUCCCUUUGAUUCCUCUAUGAGAGUUGGUUAAGGAUUUGAGUUCGAAGCAAACCCUCUGAUUAGAUGGUUUGGACACUCUACAUUUUCUACAUUUGAGAUGGGUGUCCUCAAAAGUACUAAGAAGAACGUCGAAAAACUAAAAAAAUGAAGAGACUUUAAUAAGUUAAGGAACACUAGGAGCUGUAGUGCCGCCUCUUCACCGACAUCCAAGCAUAAAAUCUCAUGUUAUAUUGCUCUACCUUUAUUUUAAUAGUGUUGUUAGUUAUCAUUUUAUUGAUUGCUUAUGAAAUUUCUUUAGAAUAUUGUAGAUAUUAUUUUCAAAUGUUAAAAAAUUCUAUAUUAAAUUUUAUUUUAAAAUUUAGUAUUUUGAAUGAUUUAUAAUAUUGGAAAAUUGUGUAUUAUAUUUUUUAUUUUUUAGCUGAAAAAAAAUAACGAUUUUUCAUCGUUGUCGUAGGCAGUUAUGAAAAAUGGCUUUUUCUUUGUUAUGAAAAAUGCAACUAAGAAACAAUGGCUUUUGUGUGUUGGGUAGUUUCUCCGAAACAUAGUUCCUCUCUAAUUUGUAGUUUCUUUUCUUUUCCAUGUAUAUUUUAGGAAAAAUUACUUUUUUCCCCUUAAAUGAUGGGAUUCGUAUCAAUUUUGUUAGCAACUUUGAGUUGUAUUAAUACCAAAGUUUAAAAGUAUCAUUCCUUUGUUCCCUUCUCAUUCUUCUUCU
Molecule: long non-coding RNA, 1124 nt
Organism: Zingiber officinale
Lineage: Eukaryota; Viridiplantae; Streptophyta; Magnoliopsida; Zingiberales; Zingiberaceae
Exons: 4
Source: RefSeq, a predicted model, not a curated record